Long non-coding RNA from Bos indicus x Bos taurus (hybrid cattle), 215 nucleotides. The record is from Ensembl. NCBI's taxonomy places the organism in Eukaryota, Metazoa, Chordata, Mammalia, Artiodactyla, Bovidae.
AGCAAGGGCCAGAAACUGAAGUGAAUUUCUCAGGGUUUACUGGGAGUUGGGAAAAAAACCUGAACUGCUGACCUGGGCAAAUUCUCACAGAUGAGAGAUUUAUGAAGUCCAGCCUUCCUGAAGGGAGAUUCCAGCAUGCAACUGGUGCUAUGGAGAUGGCGAUUCACACAAGCUGGGAUUUGGUUCUCACCUUCAAAGAAAAUGUCCUGAAGUAA